This 491-nucleotide ribosomal RNA is filed under the name uncultured bacterium. Its description in RNAcentral is "partial 16S ribosomal RNA". It matches the Rfam family "Bacterial small subunit ribosomal RNA", at positions 29 to 506 of the family's 1533-position model. The record is from RNAcentral.
AGUGAACGCUGGCGGUAGGCCUAACACAUGCAAGUCGAACGGCAGCACAGUAAGAGCUUGCUCUUACGGGUGGCGAGUGGCGGACGGGUGAGGAAUACAUCGGAAUCUACUUUUUCGUGGGGGAUAACGUAGGGAAACUUACGCUAAUACCGCAUACGACCUACGGGUGAAAGCAGGGGAUCUUCGGACCUUGCGCGAUUGAAUGAGCCGAUGUCGGAUUAGCUAGUUGGCGGGGUAAAGGCCCACCAAGGCGACGAUCCGUAGCUGGUCUGAGAGGAGGAUCGGCCACACGGGAACUGAGACACGGUCCAGACUCCAACGGGAGGCAGCAGGGGGGAAUAUUGGACAAGGGGCGCAAGCCUGAUCCAGCCAUACCGCGGGGGUGAAGAAGGCCUUCGGGUGGUAAAGCCCUUUUGUUGGGAAAGAAAAGCAGCAGGUUAAUACCCCGCUGUUCUGACGGUACCCAAAGAAUAAGCACCGGCGAACUUCGU